AGCGGUGCGGCCCUGCCUAAUAAUGCCAAGUCGAACGAACUCUGGUAUUGAUUGGUGCUUGCAUCAUGAUUUACAUUUGAGUGAGUGGCGAACUGGUGAGUAACACGUGGGAAACCUGCCCAGAAGCGGGGGAUAACACCUGGAAACAGAUGCUAAUACCGCAUAACAACUUGGACCGCAUGGUCCGAGCUUGAAAGAUGGCUUCGGCUAUCACUUUUGGAUGGUCCCGCGGCGUAUUAGCUAGAUGGUGGGGUAACGGCUCACCAUGGCAAUGAUACGUAGCCGACCUGAGAGGGUAAUCGGCCACAUUGGGACUGAGACACGGCCCAAACUCCUACGGGAGGCAGCAGUAGGGAAUCUUCCACAAUGGACGAAAGUCUGAUGGAGCAACGCCGCGUGAGUGAAGAAGGGUUUCGGCUCGUAAAACUCUGUUGUUAACGAAGAACAUAUCUGAGAGUAUCUGUUCAGGUAUUUGACGGUAUUUCACCAGAAAAGCCACGGCUAACUACGUGCCAGCAGCCGCGGUAUACGUAGGUGGCAAGCGUUGUCCCGGAUUUAUUGGGCGUAAAGCUAGCGCAAGCGGUUUUUUUAAGUCUGAUGUGAAAGCCUUUGGCUUCAACGAAGAUGUGCAUCGGUACACUGUGAAACUUGACUGCACAAGAGGACAGUGGGAUCUCCCUGUGUAGCGGUUGAAAGGCGUAAAUAUAUG
RNAcentral lists this ribosomal RNA (709 nucleotides) under Lactiplantibacillus plantarum. RNAcentral's name for it is "bacterial SSU rRNA". It matches the Rfam family "Bacterial small subunit ribosomal RNA", at positions 32 to 700 of the family's 1533-position model. The record is from RNAcentral. Lineage: Bacteria; Bacillati; Bacillota; Bacilli; Lactobacillales; Lactobacillaceae.